UCUAUCAAUUUUUAUUUUAUUUCAAAUUAUUUUUGCAAAUUUAAAAUACUUAUAUCAUUAAAAUGGCUUUAUUACCAAUCUUGUCUAUUGGCAGCAUACGUAAAUACAUGUGCAUGUACAAGUGAUGAGUUGUUAAAUGUUAUAUAUGUAUUUUAUUGUUUAGUUCUAUUAAAAUACUUUAUUCUGUCGUCACUAUUUUUGAAAACAAUGUUUUGAAAAAAGUGACUUUUCCAUUACACUAAUAUAUGCAAGGUCGUUAGACUAAAGCAGGUUGAUGGCAAUACAUCAACAUCAAUAAUAAACAAAGCUUUAGGUCAACAAUAGUUCAAGCUAAAUUUAGCAAGGUUGGAAAACGGAGAAUGACCAGUCACGGCUACUUACGAGUACAAAGCUUUAGACAGCAAACGUCAAUUCAAUAUUGAAUUAACGCUGUACCAACGUUGCUAUGUUGUAUUAAUAUUAUUUCAAUGUUAGAUUGACGUUAUGGGACCUCUGGGUACGUUCAUUCAGGCAAAUGUUACUUUUAGAUAAAUAUAGUAUAAAGAUAAUGUAUAUAUAAGAUUUUGUAUGGAAUUUAUGAAAAUGUUAUAUCUAGCUUAAUGCAGUUUCAAAAAUUUUAUUAUCUUUAACAGUUUAAAUACAAAUUUAAUUAUAAAU
This is a long non-coding RNA of Hydra vulgaris (swiftwater hydra), 657 nucleotides long. RefSeq lists it as uncharacterized. Lineage: Eukaryota; Metazoa; Cnidaria; Hydrozoa; Anthoathecata; Hydridae. The record is from RefSeq and is a predicted model, not a curated record.